GAGGGGGGGAGGAGGAGGAGGAAGAAGAGGACACAACGCGAUUGGUUGCUAGGCUCGUGACGUCAGGCAGCCGGGAAAAGGAAGAAGGGGGAGCGCGAGAGCGGAGACGCGGAAAAGGUCAAACUCAAGACGAGGAGGAGACGCGCGAGGAGGAGGAGGAGGAGGGCCACGCGCGCAGCAGGAUGCUUACUAUUUGACAGAAUGCUGAAUGCUCCUCACACCAGGUUCCAGUAGAAGACUUCAGAGAUGAAGACUAGUUCUAACAAAACUUUGGUAGGUUUAGAAUAGCUACAUACAUAUUGUGGAUCACUUGAAAAAUGAUAUGUGUUGUUCCUGAAAGUAUUGUGUCUUCCGUAGGAAGAAGGUAAAAACAGAUGCUUAUACAUUUAGUGGACAGAGUUGCAGUCAUUGCAUCAAAAUGUGUAGCCUUCUUUGGCAGGAAUGGCUGUAUCUGUUCCAUUUGCACCUCACAGGUGACAUAAAGUUUAUCAACAAAUCCUGAAUGUAUUUAUUUAUUUUCUCUCCUAAUUUUCUCCCUCGGUUUGAAUUUUAAAGUUUUGUAUCAAGACAUAAUACAUUAUAUGUGAUCGUGUGAAUAAAUUAUAUACAUAAUACAUAAAA
Molecule: non-coding RNA, 621 nt
Organism: Anolis sagrei ordinatus
Lineage: Eukaryota; Metazoa; Chordata; Lepidosauria; Squamata; Anolidae
Source: RefSeq, a predicted model, not a curated record